RNAcentral lists this ribosomal RNA (492 nucleotides) under uncultured bacterium. RNAcentral describes it as "partial 16S ribosomal RNA". It matches the Rfam family "Bacterial small subunit ribosomal RNA", at positions 29 to 507 of the family's 1533-position model. The record is from RNAcentral.
AGUGAACGCUGGCGGUAGGCCUAACACAUGCAAGUCGAACGGCAGCACAGUAAGAGCUUGCUCUUACGGGUGGCGAGUGGCGGACGGGUGAGGAAUACAUCGGAAUCUACUUUUUCGUGGGGGCUAACGUAGGGAAACUUACGCUAAUACCGCAUACGACCUACGGGUGAAAGCGGGGGAUCUUCGGACCUUGCGCGAUUGAAUGAGCCGAUGUCGGAUUAGCUAGUUGGCGGGGUAGAGGCCCACCACGGCGACGAUCCGUAGCUGGUCUGAGAGGAUGAUCAGCCACAUGGGAACUGAGACACGGCCCAGACUCCUACGGGAGGAAGCAGUGGGGAAUAUUGGACAAGGGGGGCAAGCCUGAUCCAGCCAUACCGCGUGGGGGAAGAAGGCCUUCGGGUUGGAAAGCCAUUUUGUUGGGAAAGAAAAGCAGCAGGUUAAUACCGCGCUGUUCUGACGGUACCCAAAGAAUAAGCACCGGCUAACUUCGUG